CGAGUAGGCAUCCAAAGGGAUCGCAUUGAUCCCAAAUUUUAAUAAUAUUUAUUUUUAAUUUAAUUGGGAUCAUGCUAUCCUUUUGGAUUUCUCCUU
This 96-nucleotide microRNA precursor is filed under the name Cicer arietinum (chickpea). RNAcentral describes it as "mir-393 microRNA precursor family". It matches the Rfam family "mir-393 microRNA precursor family". Lineage: Eukaryota; Viridiplantae; Streptophyta; Magnoliopsida; Fabales; Fabaceae. The record is from Rfam by way of RNAcentral.